RNAcentral lists this ribosomal RNA (545 nucleotides) under Achromobacter sp. FH1. RNAcentral's name for it is "bacterial SSU rRNA". It matches the Rfam family "Bacterial small subunit ribosomal RNA", at positions 361 to 899 of the family's 1533-position model. The record is from RNAcentral. Lineage: Bacteria; Pseudomonadati; Pseudomonadota; Betaproteobacteria; Burkholderiales; Alcaligenaceae.
AUUUUGGAUCAAUGGGGGAAACCCUGAUCCAGCCAUCCCGCGUGUGCGAUGAAGGCCUUCGGGUUGUAAAGCACUUUUGGCAGGAAAGAAACGUCGCGGGUUAAUACCCCGCGGAACUGACGGUACCUGCAGAAUAAGCACCGGCUAACUACGUGCCAGCAGCCGCGGUAAUACGUAGGGUGCAAGCGUUAAUCGGAAUUACUGGGCGUAAAGCGUGCGCAGGCGGUUCGGAAAGAAAGAUGUGAAAUCCCAGAGCUUAACUUUGGAACUGCAUUUUUAACUACCGGGCUAGAGUGUGUCAGAGGGAGGUGGAAUUCCGCGUGUAGCAGUGAAAUGCGUAGAUAUGCGGAGGAACACCGAUGGCGAAGGCAGCCUCCUGGGAUAACACUGACGCUCAUGCACGAAAGCGUGGGGAGCAAACAGGAUUAGAUACCCUGGUAGUCCACGCCCUAAACGAUGUCAACUAGCUGUUGGGGUCUUCGGACCUUGGUAGCGCCGUAACGCGUGAAGUUGACCGCCUGGGGAGUACGGUCGCAAGAUUAAAC